Molecule: small RNA, 325 nt
Filed under: Pan troglodytes (chimpanzee)
Lineage: Eukaryota; Metazoa; Chordata; Mammalia; Primates; Hominidae
Description: processed transcript
Source: RNAcentral
AGAUUAUCAACAGUUCUAAUGGUAACCAUAUAUUUUGGCCCAUGGGCCAUUCUGGAAUGUAUGUAUUUCGUGUGAAGAUCCUGGAUCCAAACUAUAGUUUCUGUAACCUAACAGCUAUGUUUGCAAUAGAGACAUUUGGACUGAUUCCCAGGUGAAUAUUAAGGUAUAUACCCACCCAAGUACCCACCAACCGAAGAAGGAGUCAAGUGAGUUAGCCAGGAGAAACAGCAAAGGAGGAGGAUCCCACCCACCUGCCCCGCUGUCACCUGCCAGCAGCUAGAGUCCAGCAGCCAGGGCAUAUGAGCACAGCAUACAGGAUAGUCUG